This 611-nucleotide ribosomal RNA is filed under the name uncultured Arcobacter sp. RNAcentral's name for it is "bacterial SSU rRNA". It matches the Rfam family "Bacterial small subunit ribosomal RNA", at positions 64 to 692 of the family's 1533-position model. The record is from RNAcentral. Lineage: Bacteria; Pseudomonadati; Campylobacterota; Epsilonproteobacteria; Campylobacterales; Arcobacteraceae.
UAACGGAUUAUAGCUUGCUUUAAUUGUCAGCUAAGUGGCGCACGGGUGAGUAAUAUAUAGGUAACAUGCCUUCGAGAAGGGGAUAACGUUUGGAAACGGACGCUAAUACCCUAUAUGCCUUUAAGUCUUAAGACUGCAAGGGAAAUAUUUAUAGCUCGAAGAUUGGCCUGUACAGUAUCAGUUAGUUGGUGAGGUAAUGGCUCACCAAGACAAUGACGCUUAACUGGUUUGAGAGGAUGAUCAGUCACACUGGAACUGAGACACGGUCCAGACUCCUACGGGAGGCAGCAGUGGGGAAUAUUGCACAAUGGACGAAAGUCUGAUGCAGCAACGCCGCGUGGAGGAUGACACAUUUCGGUGCGUAAACUCCUUUUAUAUAGGAAGAUAAUGACGGUACUAUAUGAAUAAGCACCGGCUAACUCCGUGCCAGCAGCCGCGGUAAUACGGAGGGUGCAAGCGUUACUCGGAAUCACUGGGCGUAAAGAGAAUGUAGGCGGAUAGAUAAGUUUGAAGUGAAAUCCAAUGGCUCAACCAUUGAACUGCUUUGAAAACUGUUUAUCUAGAAUAUGGGAGAGGUAGAUGGAAUUUCUGGUGUAGGGGUAAAAUCCGUA